Long non-coding RNA from Dinoponera quadriceps, 292 nucleotides. RefSeq lists it as uncharacterized. The transcript is spliced from 3 exons. NCBI's taxonomy places the organism in Eukaryota, Metazoa, Arthropoda, Insecta, Hymenoptera, Formicidae. The record is from RefSeq and is a predicted model, not a curated record.
GGUUCUUUAAGCUGCACGCGAAAUCUGGAUACAGCUUUAUGGCCAAUGCGAUGUUUGUCAGGGGCCCCAGGCAAACCAAGCUUACGAGACCUUAAAUUAAGAAGAAUCAAAGCGUACGCAGCAUGAGUCGUUUGCAUUUUACUGGUAUCCGGUUCGUUCGUGUACACAUCGCCAAAUCCGUCCACCCCGUGAUAACACUCAUGUUCUCCUGCUUAUUCUACGAAGGUAUAAGACGAAGUGAUCCAUUUGUCACAAUAAUAUAACUUACAUCGUAGUCUUCGAACAGUUCGAG